ACGGGUGAGUAAUGUCUGGGGAUCUGCCCGAUAGAGGGGGAUAACCACUGGAAACGGUGGCUAAUACCGCAUAACGUCGCAAGACCAAAGAGGGGGACCUUCGGGCCUCUCACUAUCGGAUGAACCCAGAUGGGAUUAGCUAGUAGGCGGGGUAACGGCCCACCUAGGCGACGAUCCCUAGCUGGUCUGAGAGGAUGACCAGCCACACUGGAACUGAGACACGGUCCAGACUCCUACGGGAGGCAGCAGUGGGGAAUAUUGCACAAUGGGCGCAAGCCUGAUGCAGCCAUGCCGCGUGUAUGAAGAAGGCCUUCGGGUUGUAAAGUACUUCCAGCGGGGAGGAAGGCGAUGUGGUUAAUAACCGCAUUGAUUGACGUUACCCGCAGAAGAAGCACCGGCUAACUCCGUGCCAGCAGCCGCGGUAAUACGGAGGGUGCAAGCGUUAAUCGGAAUUACUGGGCGUAAAGCGCACGCAGGCGGUCUGUUAAGUCAGAUGUGAAAUCCCCGGGCUUAACCUGGGAACUGCAUUUGAAACUGGCAGGCUUGAGUCUCGUAGAGGGGGGUAGAAUUCCAGGUGUAGCG
Molecule: ribosomal RNA, 582 nt
Filed under: uncultured bacterium
Lineage: Bacteria
Description: bacterial SSU rRNA
Rfam family: Bacterial small subunit ribosomal RNA
Source: RNAcentral